GCCGGUGUAGCUCAGGGGUAGAGCAACGGUUUUGUAAACCGUAGGUCGUUGGUUCGAAUCCUACCGCCGGCUCCA
RNAcentral lists this transfer RNA (75 nucleotides) under Chloroflexota bacterium. RNAcentral describes it as "tRNA-Thr". It matches the Rfam family "tRNA". From Rfam's summary of the family: Transfer RNA (tRNA) molecules are approximately 80 nucleotides in length. Their secondary structure includes four short double-helical elements and three loops (D, anti-codon, and T loops). Further hydrogen bonds mediate the characteristic L-shaped molecular structure. tRNAs have two regions of fundamental functional importance: the anti-codon, which is responsible for specific mRNA codon recognition, and the 3' end, to which the tRNAs corresponding amino acid is attached (by aminoacyl-tRNA synthetases). tRNAs cope with the degeneracy of the genetic code in two manners: having more than one tRNA (with a specific anti-codon) for a particular amino acid; and 'wobble' base-pairing, i.e. permitting non-standard base-pairing at the 3rd anti-codon position. Lineage: Bacteria; Bacillati; Chloroflexota. The record is from RNAcentral.